GUUGAACGCUGGCGGCAGGCCUAACACAUGCAAGUCGAGCGGAUGAAGGGAGCUUGCUCCUGGAUUCAGCGGCGGACGGGUGAGUAAUGCCUAGGAAUCUGCCUGGUAGUGGGGGAUAACGUCCGGAAACGGGCGCUAAUACCGCAUACGUCCUGAGGGAGAAAGUGGGGGAUCUUCGGACCUCACGCUAUCAGAUGAGCCUAGGUCGGAUUAACUAGUUGGUGGGGUAAAGGCCUACCAAGGCGACGAUCCGUAACUGGUCUGAGAGGAUGAUCAGUAACACAGGAACUGAGACACGGUCCAGACUCCUGCGGGAGGCAGCAGUGGGGAAUAUUGGACAAUGGGCGAAAGCCUGAUCCAGCCAUGCCGAGUGUGUGAAGAAGGUCUUCGGAUUGUAAAGCACUUUAAGUUGGGAGGAAGGGCAGUAAGUUAAGACCUUGCUGUUUUGACGUUACCAACAGAAUAAGCACCGGCUAACUUCGUG
Molecule: ribosomal RNA, 484 nt
Filed under: uncultured bacterium
Lineage: Bacteria
Description: partial 16S ribosomal RNA
Rfam family: Bacterial small subunit ribosomal RNA
Source: RNAcentral